RNAcentral lists this transfer RNA (69 nucleotides) under Caenorhabditis elegans. It matches the Rfam family "tRNA". Rfam says of the family: Transfer RNA (tRNA) molecules are approximately 80 nucleotides in length. Their secondary structure includes four short double-helical elements and three loops (D, anti-codon, and T loops). The record is from Rfam by way of RNAcentral. Lineage: Eukaryota; Metazoa; Nematoda; Chromadorea; Rhabditida; Rhabditidae.
GGCGGCGUGGCCAAGUGGUAAAGCACUGGGCUUAAAAACCAAGUAUCCGGGGUUCGACCCCCGGUGCCG